CCCCUAGAUGUUCUGGGCCGCACGCGCGCUACACUGAACAGUUCAACAAGUCUUAACCUUGGCCGACAGGCCCGGGCAAUCUUUGAACGCCGGUCGUGAUGGGGAUAGACCUUUGCAAUUUUUGGUCUUCAACGAGGAAUUCCUAGUAAACGCAAGUCAUCAACUUGCAUUGAUUACGUCCCUGCCCUUUGUACACACCGCCCGUCGCACCUACCGAUUGAAUGGUCCGGUGAAACCUCCGGAUUGGCGCGUGCCCUCGGGCGCCGCCGAGAAGUUGGUUAAACCUUACCAUUUAGAGGAAGGUGAAGUCGUAACA
Molecule: ribosomal RNA, 316 nt
Filed under: uncultured eukaryote
Lineage: Eukaryota
Description: partial 18S ribosomal RNA
Rfam family: Eukaryotic small subunit ribosomal RNA
Source: RNAcentral